This 82-nucleotide small RNA is filed under the name Cricetulus griseus (Chinese hamster). Lineage: Eukaryota; Metazoa; Chordata; Mammalia; Rodentia; Cricetidae. The record is from RNAcentral.
UCCCAUCCAAGUACUAACCAUGCCCAACCCUGCUUAACUUCCAAGAUCUGUCGAGAUCGGGCAUGUUCAGGGUGUUAUGGCC